CCUACGGGAGGCAGCAGUGGGGAAUAUUGGGCAAUGGGCGCAAGCCUGACCCAGCAACGCCGCGUGAAGGAAGAAGGCUUUCGGGUUGUAAACUUCUUUUAAGGGGGAAGAGCAGAAGACGGUACCCCUUGAAUAAGCCACGGCUAACUACGUGCCAGCAGCCGCGGUAAUACGUAGGUGGCGAGCGUUAUCCGGAAGGAUGGGGCGUAAAGGGUGCGUAGGCGGCCUGCUAAGUCUGGAGUGAAAGGUACCGGCUCAACCGGUACAGGCUAUGGAAACUGGCGGGCGAGAGAGGAGGAGAGGGCGGUGGAACUCCAUGUGUAGCGGUAAAAUGCGUAGAUAUAUGGAAGAAAACCAGUGGCGAAGGCGGCCGCCUGGCCUGUUGACUGACGCUGAGGCACGAAAGCGUGGGGAGCAAAUAGGAUUAGAUACCCCAGUAGUC
Molecule: ribosomal RNA, 442 nt
Filed under: uncultured bacterium
Lineage: Bacteria
Description: partial 16S ribosomal RNA
Rfam family: Bacterial small subunit ribosomal RNA
Source: RNAcentral